Molecule: long non-coding RNA, 1046 nt
Filed under: Brassica napus (rape)
Lineage: Eukaryota; Viridiplantae; Streptophyta; Magnoliopsida; Brassicales; Brassicaceae
Description: long non-coding RNA (BNAP_LNC023833)
Source: RNAcentral
CUGGCUGGGAUAGCAGUGCGUUGAGAACAUGCACUGCUCUUCAGAUAGUGUUGGUUCGACUGGAGGUGGGUCGAGAUCAAGUUCCACAGCUUCCUCACCUCGAGGGGUUUUGAGCCUGAGAACUGGAGGAGGUGGGUUCAGACCGUCGAGGUUGUGUGAUGUUUGAGGAAGAGGCGCUGAAGCAGCUUGAGGGACAAGCUUGACUCUUUAUAUUGCUCCCUGUGUUUAAAAUGGCGCAUGGCGCUCCAUGGCGAUGAGGUGUGUGCUUUGCGCCUUGCGCCAAGGCGCACCGAGGCGCUCGCCUUGAAGACCACUUGAAAGUUAACGUUAACUAUGUCUUAUUGUCUUGUUAUGUAACAAGCACGAGUGUUGGUGUUAUGUAAAGAAGUUAUAAUAAGAAGAAGAACCUAUGAGACUAGAAAAGAGUAGAUAGUACUCUAACCUUAAGCAAAACACAGUUAGAUCUAUGUUUUGUGAGUAUUUUUGAUGUUUGGUUUUCACUUUCAUAAAGAGGAAGUUAGAGUUUUGAGGAGUAUUUUUGACGUUUGGUUUUAAGAUUGGUUAAUUAGUUAGAGUAGGGUUUCGUUUCUACUUGGUUUAGUACCGGUUAACAUACAGUCUCCAAGGCGCGCCUUUGCAUCGCCUUUGAUGCCACUGCCUUAUGGCCAAAGCGCACCUAGGCGAGCGGCUUGGGGAAACUAGGCUAGCCUCAGGGUUCCAUGGCGGUGGAGCCAUCGCCACAGUGCGCCUUGCGCCUUGGCGCAAAGGGCUAUGGCUUUUUUAAACACAGAUUGCUCCAAAUAAUAUGAGCUACUGAGGUCAAAAGCUUGGAAAUCAACCGAGGAAGACGUGGAGAAAAGCGAUUUUACCUUGUGGAGCAGAAGAAACUCUCAGCCAAAAACUUGAGAUUAGCGAUCACUGUAAAUCUCGAAAUAUCUUGAAAGUUUCCUUAAAAUCUCAGCCGCCAGAGCAGCUGUUCCAAUUGAAAUCAGCUGGUCCAUACAAGAACGGCUGGUCUGGCAAGAAUUCUCGGAAUUUCACUUUUU